UCUCUCUCUCUCUCUCUCUAAAACUAACUAAUGGAUGAAGAAAUUCUUGGAUCCUAACUGCUUUAGUUCACCGAAAAUUUUCAAAUUGUCUCACUCUGUCUGAACUUUUCAUCCACCUACUUUAGUUUCCAAACACACACACACACAUACACAUUGAAUUGACAUCAUUGAUUCAAGAAAUAUUUAUGCCUAUAAGUAGUGAGAAUGCAAUAGCCAAGAGUAAUUCAAACACCAUCAAUUCAAUUACAAACCUCACUUCAAUUAUAAACCUUUUUAACAUAAAGAACCAUUUCUAGGCCUUGAGAAGUACAAAGAAAGAUGUUUGUUCGACUGGGAUAGAAGAUGGCUGGCUCUCUCACUUAAUUGGUUGAAAGAAAAGGCAAUCAUUUUCAUCAUUGAAGAGUGCCAAAGGGCAGGGGAGAGAAAGUAAGAAUGUAAGACAAUGAAAAACAAAUGAAAAUCAUUAGGCAUGCAUGUUUCAAGUAUAUGAGAUAAAGCAGAUGAGACAAAUUUUCUUUCAUUUGGGGGGUUUUUGUAGAGAAAAUUCUAUUCUCUGGUUUACAUGAUGUAAACAUGAAGUCAUCUAAUAAUAUGGGAUGUACAGAAAACAUUACAAAAGAACCAAAUUAAAAUCAAUAUGAAUGUACGUCAGCUAAAUAGAUAAAGUCACUUCUUUUCAAAUAUCAUAUGUUGGAGAUACAAAAAUUUCUUUCAUUUGGGGUUUUCGUAGAGAAAACUCUACUUUCUGGAUACAUGAAAAAUUAGUCAUUUGAUAUUAUGAAAUGUAGAAAAAAUAUUUUAGAGUUGAUUUUAGAUAUCUAUUCAUGCAAGUUUGCCCAGAUAUAACUUAAAUCAGAAAACUUUCCCUUGGUCUAAUGCCACAUGAAAAUCAUUAUUAGACAAAAGAUUUAUAUGUAUGCGGUUUUGUGUAUAUCCAUCUUGCAUAGCUACUCAACAUAUCAUGAUGAUUAGGGAAAAAAAAAGGAUACAUAUGUAAAAAAAAGAUGUAAAUAUCAGCUCAAAGCAGAAGGCAAACAUCAAAGAAAUGAUAAUAUUACAAUAACAAUUAAAAGAAGCUCUUACCCCACAAAGAAACCAGCAAAAUGU
Molecule: unclassified non-coding RNA, 1107 nt
Filed under: Hevea brasiliensis (rubber tree)
Lineage: Eukaryota; Viridiplantae; Streptophyta; Magnoliopsida; Malpighiales; Euphorbiaceae
Source: RNAcentral